GGGGGUGAAUGGUCUCGACUCCGGACGUCGAGGCAGGGGAAGCGGGCCGAGGAAGGCGACGAUGAUCUCGUUAACCACGAAAUGUCGCAACCAAAUCAAGCGCCGACGUCAGUCAGCGUGAUCUUGCUCUCGCUGCCUAAGUAGCGAAGCAGGUCUGUCAGUCCGGGAGCGCCUCCGGCCCGGAAUCUGGCAUCGCUAGGAGGAUCACCGCCGGACCCGGCUGCGGGGGACGGCGGAACAUCUCACAGCAGCUGGGCCCGUCGCACCGACCUGUGCGCAGGAUCGGUGGGGCCGAGUAGGACGACGCGCACUACGCCCGUAGAAGCCCUGUUGAGCCGCCGGAGGACGCGGG
Molecule: transfer-messenger RNA, 352 nt
Filed under: Geodermatophilaceae bacterium
Lineage: Bacteria; Bacillati; Actinomycetota; Actinomycetes; Geodermatophilales; Geodermatophilaceae
Description: partial transfer-messenger RNA
Rfam family: transfer-messenger RNA
About the family: Bacterial tmRNA, also known as 10Sa RNA or SsrA, is named for its dual tRNA and mRNA-like properties. Its role is to liberate the mRNA from a stalled ribosome.
Source: RNAcentral